UUAUCGCUUCCCCAUUCGUUUAUUUUUUUAAAUUAAACUUAGCUGAAAAUAUAAAUUAAUUAUAAUUUGAAUUUGGGACUUCGAGUAUUCAACCAUUCAGUUUUUUGCCAUUUACGCUAAGGACGGUCGGUCAAGCAGGACAAUUCUCGGAGUAUUAUAACGUGGAUUUUUUAUUUACCAAAAUUUGGGUGGAUUUGAACACGGAAU
Molecule: long non-coding RNA, 207 nt
Filed under: Ananas comosus (pineapple)
Lineage: Eukaryota; Viridiplantae; Streptophyta; Magnoliopsida; Poales; Bromeliaceae
Description: long non-coding RNA (ACOM_LNC010932)
Source: RNAcentral